UGUAAUUUAGUUUAAAUAAAACAUUUAUUUUUGAAGUAAAAAAUAUUAAUUACAAU
This 56-nucleotide transfer RNA is filed under the name Trichostrongylus vitrinus. RNAcentral describes it as "tRNA-Gln". Lineage: Eukaryota; Metazoa; Nematoda; Chromadorea; Rhabditida; Trichostrongylidae. The record is from RNAcentral.